GUGGAGGUGCUGAGGUCUCGAUAAGUAACCGAGAUGCUAUCUUCGUUUUACCCGACCAUGGUCGGGGUAAGUUUUACUUCGCCUCCCCUUUCUUUAGUGUCUUCAUUAUUUCAUUUUCCUGACGUAGUGCCCGCAUUCGCAGCUGAUCUAUACCAUGUCUGAACUUGAAGCCGGGUAUCGGAGAUUCGGGAACAUCCGGGCGGCUUGGAAGGACAGAGCGGCGGCC
Molecule: long non-coding RNA, 226 nt
Filed under: Elaeis guineensis (African oil palm)
Lineage: Eukaryota; Viridiplantae; Streptophyta; Magnoliopsida; Arecales; Arecaceae
Description: long non-coding RNA (EGUI_LNC072796)
Source: RNAcentral